CAAAACCAGCUCAGGCUGCAAAAAAAAAGAGCUUAUCUUCCCUUUAGACUAUAGAAGAAUAUAAAAGAAUGUAGUUCAAAAACUAACAAUGAUUUUCCUGCACUUCGUAAAGAGAGCAUAUCUAAAAGCCUCUAUCCUGAAGAGCGUUGGACCCUGGAGCUGCUGGCCACAUCUUGAUCUGCCAUAUGUGGUCCAAGAAUGAAGUCAACACGAAGGAGAAUGAAGGUGCUGAGGGAUAAAGUUAUUGACAUUCUAGGAGCUCCUGGAUCAAACCAUGCCUGAACUCAAUUUAUCCCUUGAACUUUUCAAUUACAUGAAUAAAUCCUCCUUUUGCCUGAGUCAAUGUGGAUUAGUAUCAUUGGCAUUCAGAAGAUUCCUAAAGUCUCAGGUCUUCUGCACAUCUAUAACCAUGGCAAUUGCGGUCCUGCUCUCCUUUCCCCUCCCCUGAGCAGGCAAGCUUUCCUUCUCUAUCAUGUAAACCUCCUGGGUCAUUCAGAGUAUUUCUCAAAUGUUACCUGGAGUUUCCCAAGACUUCAGUUCUCACUGACCAUUUACUUCUUAAACUGCUAGGAUGAUAACCUAUAACUUUGCAUCUAACCAAUCCCUUAGCACUUUCCUUAGAGACUUCUUAGAGAUCUUUUUGAUGCCUAAGGGUAGGAAUCAGGGCUUCUCUAUCUUGUAUAUGCACUGCCCCCCACCCACAGGUCCAUAGAAUAACAGCUGAGGACCUGUAGCUCUACAAGGGCAGGGACUGUCAAACAUGCCAGACUGCACAUGGUAGUUACCACUAGAGGGCUCUGGGUAUGGGCAAUAAGCAGGACUUCUGCAUUUUACAUCUAUGCUAUCAUUCGAGUCUUGUAUGAGCAUUUAUUUUACAAAUCUCUAUCUUGCAAAGCAAACCCUUAGUGUGAAUAACUGAGGAGUGGUGGAUCGGCCAGCUCUUCCGUGCAGUGUUCUAAAGCCUCUUGCUCCUGUCUCUCCUGUGGGAAACCCAUAGUUACGGCUUCAAGCAGAGACCCAAGCACCACCUCAGGGUCUUGACCUUGUGUGGGAAUAAUCUAUCACCAAGAUGCAGACAGAGACAAACUGCUUCACAGAGCAUUUUAUCCCCUAGAAAAUCCCCAACCCCAGCAUCCUGGGUGCUGCCCAACCUCUUCAAAUACAAAGGCAAAUAAAAUAAAUAAAAGUAAAUAUUGUACUCAUAAGCAACAGAAUGCCUAGCAACCAAGAACAAGGGAGGGCUGGAGGAAGAAGGUUGACUUUCGCAGGCCCUUGUGUAUAAACUGCAGUAAAAGUCUUCUCUGUGUGAAUAAUAUAUUUUUGAGCGUUAAAUUAUAGAAGGUGUAAGGAAUGCUAAGGCUGAGACCCAACAGAGAGAGCUGGCCCCACCCUGAAUGGGAGGGGCAGGGGUCUCCUUGGUCUUUGUCCCUGCUGACUGGUAUUGAGGGAGGGGGAGUCUCCGCUGUAGCUUCAGGAAUGGAACACAGGGCACCAGGCCUCAGUUAAUCCCUUUAGGGACCCUUAGCCCUGAAACAAUGCUGGUGCAACCCCACAUGUAACUCAGAAGAAAAUGUUAAGUCACGAAAUAAAUGUAAGAGCUCUGAUGUUUUUCUAUAACACCCAUUUCAAUGCUUUGUUAGAAAGUAUGUACGUAAAGCACAUGACAUUGUUCUCAUUAAAUUUUUUUGUUACGAAAACUUUUAAACACACUCAGAAGAGUAGGAUUUUUGAACCUCUCAUCUGGGUACAAUAUUAUUAAAAUUCUGC
RNAcentral lists this long non-coding RNA (1767 nucleotides) under Homo sapiens (human). Its description in RNAcentral is "HSALNT0169141". The record is from RNAcentral. Lineage: Eukaryota; Metazoa; Chordata; Mammalia; Primates; Hominidae.